AAUAUUAUGUUAUAAAUAGAUGCUUAGGGGCAAUAUAGUACAUUCAUUUUUCUGUAUAAAUUACUUCAUUCUUCUUGUAUAAUAGCCUACUGUACAUAAUGCAUUUACAUUACAUUGAAUAGAAUUACUCAACAUUGUCUUCAUCUUCUUUGAUGCUUUGCUUCUCUUUUAUUCGAACAACCAGACCUUCAUCAACUCUUACAUGACAUCAGAGCGUCCCACUCCCGAUUUUACUGGCCUUAGUAAACCAACCAACCCUUACCGAUUAGAAACCUCCAAUAACCCUAGCACUCUGCUCAUCACUGACCUCCUUACAACCGAGAAUUACUCUACGUGGUCCAAAUCAAUUCAAUGUGCUCUUUGCGCCAAGAAUAAACUUAGUUUUCUCAGUGGAAGCAUCUUCAAACCUCCUACUAUCACUGACCCUCUUUUUGCCCUUUAGGAACGAUGCAAUUAUAUGCUUGUGUCCUGGCUUCAAAACUCAAUAAGCAUGCCCCUUCGUCCCUCCAUCGCAUUUGGUGAUGAUGCUUGUGAGUUAUGGCUUGAAUUGCAGGAACGAUUCUCCCCUCAAAAUGGCCCUUGGAUCUAUGAGCUGAAGAAUACUCUUGUAAAUUUGUCUCAAGAAAAUGAUACAGUUAACAUCUAUUAUGGGCAUUUCUCAUUGGACAACGAUUGGGAAGGGUAGCAUGAUACAUGAUCUCUACCAUUUACACGCAGACAAUGUCUCACCUCAAGCUUUGGUUCAUAUCUUAUCUCAGAAUUUUCACCUUCAAAAUUUUAUUUCAGCCUCUGUACAACCUCUCAACAGUUCUCAUGAUUUAUGGCACUGUCGAUUAGGUCAUCCCUCCCAUUCUCGCAUUUUACUCAUACAAGAUCCUCUUGUAAUUACUCAUAUGAAUAUUAAUGAAAAUUUACCUUAUCUUCUUUA
Long non-coding RNA from Carya illinoinensis, 928 nucleotides. RefSeq lists it as uncharacterized. The record is from RefSeq and is a predicted model, not a curated record. The transcript is spliced from 2 exons. NCBI's taxonomy places the organism in Eukaryota, Viridiplantae, Streptophyta, Magnoliopsida, Fagales, Juglandaceae.